ACACGGGGCAUUGCAAUCAGUAACGGCGAGUGAAGCGGCAAAAGCUCAAAUUUGAAAUCCUUCGGGAGUUGUAAUUUGUAGGUUGGGAGACCCCGCGGCUAGUGGCACCAAGUCCCUUGGAACAGGGCGCCUUAGAGGGUGAGAGCCCCGUAGGUACCACAACACCGUCUUGUGUCUCCUCUCCAAAGAGUCGAGUUGUUUGGGAAUGCAGCUCAAAGUGGGUGGUAAAUUCCAUCUAAAGCUAAAUACCGGCGAGAGACCGAUAGCGAACAAGUACAGUGAUGGAAAGAUGAAAAGCACUUUGAAAAGAGAGUGAAACAGUACGUGAAAUUGUUGAAAGGGAAGGGCUUGCAAGCAGACACGGCCUUCGUGCCGGGCCAGCAUCGGUUGCUAGGGGUGGAUAAGGAACAAGGAAUGUAGCUCCUCGGAGUAUUAUAGCCUUGCGCGAUACACCCACUGGCGACCGAGGCCUGCGGUAUUCUUUACCUAGGAUGCUGGCGUAAUGGUUGCAAGCCGCCCGUCUGAAAAAAGGGAACAAAAAAUUUUCUAACAUCACUUAUAUUUUUAUUUUACUAUUUAUAAACAAAAUAUAACAAAAAAAUAAUAUAGUAUGUU
RNAcentral lists this ribosomal RNA (615 nucleotides) under Sungouiella intermedia. Its description in RNAcentral is "eukaryotic LSU rRNA". It matches the Rfam family "Eukaryotic large subunit ribosomal RNA", at positions 68 to 739 of the family's 3401-position model. The record is from RNAcentral. Lineage: Eukaryota; Fungi; Ascomycota; Pichiomycetes; Serinales; Metschnikowiaceae.